AACGAACGCUGGCGGCAUGCCUAACACAUGCAAGUCGAACGAGACCUUCGGGUCUAGUGGCGCACGGGUGCGUAACGCGUGGGAACCUGCCCUUAGGUUCGGAAUAACUCAGAGAAAUUUGAGCUAAUACCGGAUAAUGUCUUCGGAUCAAAGAUUUAUCGCCUUUGGAUGGGCCCGCGUAGGAUUAGCUUGUUGGUGGGGUAAUGGCCUACCAAGGCGACGAUCCUUAGCUGGUCUGAGAGGAUGAUCAGCCACACUGGGACUGAGACACGGCCCAGACUCCUACGGGAGGCAGCAGUGGGGAAUAUUGGACAAUGGGCGAAAGCCUGAUCCAGCAAUGCCGCGUGAGUGAUGAAGGCCUUAGGGUUGUAAAGCUCUUUUACCAGGGAUGAUAAUGACAGUACCUGGAGAAUAAGCUCCGGCUAACUCCGUG
This 433-nucleotide ribosomal RNA is filed under the name uncultured bacterium. RNAcentral's name for it is "partial 16S ribosomal RNA". It matches the Rfam family "Bacterial small subunit ribosomal RNA", at positions 29 to 507 of the family's 1533-position model. The record is from RNAcentral.